RNAcentral lists this ribosomal RNA (200 nucleotides) under uncultured bacterium. Its description in RNAcentral is "partial 16S ribosomal RNA". It matches the Rfam family "Bacterial small subunit ribosomal RNA", at positions 8 to 210 of the family's 1533-position model. The record is from RNAcentral.
AGAGUUUGAUCCUGGCUCAGAUUGAACGCUGGCGACGUGCUUAACACAUGCAAGUCGUGCGAGAAAGGAGACUUCGGUCUCUGAGUAGAGCGGCGCACGGGUGAGUAACGCGUGGAUGAUCUACCUUGAGUUCGGGAUAACGGCGCGAAAGCGCCGCUAAUACCGUAUAACAAUCCAUUUCAACGUGGGUUCAAAGCAGG